UCUUUGCUUGCUAUAUGGAUUGUACGUUCCUGAUUGGGAGUAUCAAAUUCAAACAGAACCUUCUUCAGAGCCAAAGACAUUUUCUGUGAGUAUUGAUGUCUUGUGUUGCUUUAAGUUUAUUCGAAAGAAUCUAGCUUCUGGUAUUGGUAUAAAACGAAAUAAAUGUGAUUUGUUAGGUUAAAUGUGGAGUAAGGGGUGACACUG
Molecule: long non-coding RNA, 204 nt
Filed under: Vigna radiata
Lineage: Eukaryota; Viridiplantae; Streptophyta; Magnoliopsida; Fabales; Fabaceae
Description: long non-coding RNA (VRAD_LNC003147)
Source: RNAcentral